UAGGAGGAUCUAAGGCAACCACAAGUAGAAGCAAGCAUUUCCAUCCAUCUAAGGGCUUUCAACCAUCAAAUCUUCAUAUUCUUUGCUUUUCAUUUUCACCUAGAUCAUCCCUAGCCAAGAGCUAGAAGUCGCAACGCUAUUCAGGACGACCGCACGUGAGAUCUUAUUUUCAUCUAUUCACAGGACGCGAUACUGGAAUUAAAGGACCAUGUCGGGAUUCUCAGUCAAGAUAACAAGUACCAGAACUCCAUGCCAUCUUUUGGAGGGUUUAACUGUUAUAUUCCGCCUCUUUGCGGAAAUAUGAUGGUUUAAACCUUAGUAGUUUAUUUCAUGUUAAUGUAUGAAACAAUAACACUUUACUUUUAUGUUAAUGGUUUGUAACC
Long non-coding RNA from Helianthus annuus (common sunflower), 383 nucleotides. RefSeq lists it as uncharacterized. The record is from RefSeq and is a predicted model, not a curated record. Lineage: Eukaryota; Viridiplantae; Streptophyta; Magnoliopsida; Asterales; Asteraceae. The transcript is spliced from 3 exons.